RNAcentral lists this ribosomal RNA (497 nucleotides) under uncultured bacterium. RNAcentral describes it as "partial 16S ribosomal RNA". It matches the Rfam family "Bacterial small subunit ribosomal RNA", at positions 28 to 507 of the family's 1533-position model. The record is from RNAcentral.
GAUGAACGCUGGCGGCGUGCCUAAUACAUGCAAGUCGAGCGAACGGAUAAGGAGCUUGCUCCUUUGACGUUAGCGGCGGACGGGUGAGUAACACGUGGGUAACCUACCUAUAAGACUGGGAUAACUUCGGGAAACCGGAGCUAAUACCGGAUAAUAUUUCGAACCGCAUGGUUCGAUAGUGAAAGAUGGUUUUGCUAUCACUUAUAGAUGGACCCGCGCCGUAUUAGCUAGUUGGUAAGGUAACGGCUUACCAAGGCGACGAUACGUAGCCGACCUGAGAGGGUGAUCGGCCACACUGGAACUGAGACACGGUCCAGACUCCUACGGGAGGCAGCAGUAGGGAAUCUUCCGCAAUGAGCGAAAGCCUGACGGAGCAACGCCGCGUGAGUGAUGAAGGUCUUCGGAUCGUAAAACUCUGUUAUUAGGGAAGAACAUACGUGUAAGUAACUGUGCACGUCUUGACGGUACCUAAUCAGAAAGCCACGGCUAACUACGUG